This is a small nucleolar RNA of Echinops telfairi (small Madagascar hedgehog), 86 nucleotides long. The record is from Ensembl. Lineage: Eukaryota; Metazoa; Chordata; Mammalia; Afrosoricida; Tenrecidae.
UGCCACAGUGAUGGCUGACCAGGGCCCCUGACCCAUACAGGCUUCUGCUGUGGGAGUGAUAGGCCAGCCCUGGUGUCUGAGUGAUU